RNAcentral lists this ribosomal RNA (1084 nucleotides) under Lentilactobacillus buchneri. Its description in RNAcentral is "bacterial SSU rRNA". It matches the Rfam family "Bacterial small subunit ribosomal RNA", at positions 381 to 1459 of the family's 1533-position model. The record is from RNAcentral. Lineage: Bacteria; Bacillati; Bacillota; Bacilli; Lactobacillales; Lactobacillaceae.
GUCUGAUGGAGCAACGCCGCGUGAGUGAUGAAGGGUUUCGGCUCGUAAAACUCUGUUGUUGGAGAAGAACAGGUGUCAGAGUAACUGUUGACAUCUUGACGGUAUCCAACCAGAAAGCCACGGCUAACUACGUGCCAGCAGCCGCGGUAAUACGUAGGUGGCAAGCGUUGUCCGGAUUUAUUGGGCGUAAAGCGAGCGCAGGCGGUUUUUUAGGUCUGAUGUGAAAGCCUUCGGCUUAACCGGAGAAGUGCAUCGGAAACCGGGAGACUUGAGUGCAGAAGAGGACAGUGGAACUCCAUGUGUAGCGGUGAAAUGCGUAGAUAUAUGGAAGAACACCAGUGGCGAAGGCGGCUGUCUGGUCUGUAACUGACGCUGAGGCUCGAAAGCAUGGGUAGCGAACAGGAUUAGAUACCCUGGUAGUCCAUGCCGUAAACGAUGAGUGCUAAGUGUUGGAGGGUUUCCGCCCUUCAGUGCUGCAGCUAACGCAUUAAGCACUCCGCCUGGGGAGUACGACCGCAAGGUUGAAACUCAAAGGAAUUGACGGGGGCCCGCACAAGCGGUGGAGCAUGUGGUUUAAUUCGAUGCUACGCGAAGAACCUUACCAGGUCUUGACAUCUUCUGCCAACCUAAGAGAUUAGGCGUUCCCUUCGGGGACAGAAUGACAGGUGGUGCAUGGUUGUCGUCAGCUCGUGUCGUGAGAUGUUGGGUUAAGUCCCGCAACGAGCGCAACCCUUAUUGUUAGUUGCCAGCAUUCAGUUGGGCACUCUAGCAAGACUGCCGGUGACAAACCGGAGGAAGGUGGGGAUGACGUCAAAUCAUCAUGCCCCUUAUGACCUGGGCUACACACGUGCUACAAUGGACGGUACAACGAGUCGCGAAACCGCGAGGUCAAGCUAAUCUCUUAAAGCCGUUCUCAGUUCGGAUUGUAGGCUGCAACUCGCCUACAUGAAGUUGGAAUCGCUAGUAAUCGUGGAUCAGCAUGCCACGGUGAAUACGUUCCCGGGCCUUGUACACACCGCCCGUCACACCAUGAGAGUUUGUAACACCCAAAGCCGGUGAGGUAACCUUCGGGACCAGCCGUCUA